UCCAGAAAAAAGCAAUAUAUUACCUUCUGAAAAAAAAGUCACAUAGAAACAAUUUUGUGUAUAUUUCAGUGACAACCCCAAAUGCUUGCCGGUUGAUCUGAAAACCACAAUAUGCACUGGACUUAUAAAGUCUCUUUGUGCUUACACUUAGACAAACUUACCCUUAGACAACCAAAUAAGCAUAGACAAUCAAACCAGUAGAUCAGAGAAAUCUAAUAUUUGGAGUUCAGAAUUAAGAUUGAAGAAACAGUACCCAGAUUAUUAGAUAUCAAAUAUGAAGGGUGAAGCUUGAAUCAGAUGUGAAGGGUGAAGCUUGGAUCAGAACUCUGGAGAAUGGAGUGGAAGGCGGAGGCGCAGUGGGUGGGUGUUGUCUGAUUAGGAUUAGGUUUAGUGAUUCAGAGGACCGACGAGCUUUAACAUUUACAUAUGCUACUUAUGUAUUAUUUUAUUAUUAUUAUUAUUAUUAAGUAUAAAUAUUAUUAAUAUUAUAUAUAAAUAUAAUUUAAAAAUAUAUAUAAAAAAAACUUCGGUUAUUUCGGUUAAACCGAAAUUAUACUUUUCAGAAACCG
This 569-nucleotide long non-coding RNA is filed under the name Daucus carota (carrot). RNAcentral describes it as "long non-coding RNA (DCAR_LNC000768)". The record is from RNAcentral. Lineage: Eukaryota; Viridiplantae; Streptophyta; Magnoliopsida; Apiales; Apiaceae.